GAUGAAGAACGCAGCGAAUUGCGAUAAGUAAUGUGAAUUGCAGAAUUCCGUGAAUCAUCGAAUCUUUGAACGCAAAUUGCACUCUUCGGUCUUCCGGGGAGUAUGCCUGUUUGAGGGUCGGUAAAAUGAAACAUCGAUUUGUUGCUUGUUUGCAACAUUUCGGAGUUGGGUUAACUUUUGAUAUUCUCAAGUGACCUAAAAUUCAUUACCUCGGUAUGAUUAACGUUCUUAAAUGAUUUCGUUCUGAGUGCCGAAUUUAUUAGACGUGACUAUCUUAUAGCAUCACUUCUAUAAUUUUUGAAUUUCGACCUCAAAUCAAGCAAGAUUACCCGCUGAACUUAAGCAUAUCAAUAAGCGGAGGA
This 362-nucleotide unclassified non-coding RNA is filed under the name soil metagenome. RNAcentral describes it as "partial contains 5.8S ribosomal RNA, internal transcribed spacer 2, and large subunit ribosomal RNA". The stretch from base 1 to 120 matches the Rfam family "5.8S ribosomal RNA", at positions 35 to 154 of the family's 154-position model. The record is from RNAcentral.